RNAcentral lists this ribosomal RNA (561 nucleotides) under uncultured Nocardioidaceae bacterium. RNAcentral describes it as "bacterial SSU rRNA". It matches the Rfam family "Bacterial small subunit ribosomal RNA", at positions 264 to 821 of the family's 1533-position model. The record is from RNAcentral. Lineage: Bacteria; Bacillati; Actinomycetota; Actinomycetes; Propionibacteriales; Nocardioidaceae.
CCUACCAAGGCUUUGACGGGUAGCCGGCCUGAGAGGGUGACCGGCCACACUGGGACUGAGACACGGCCCAGACUCCUACGGGAGGCAGCAGUGGGGAAUAUUGGACAAUGGGCGGAAGCCUGAUCCAGCAACGCCGCGUGAGGGAUGACGGCCUUCGGGUUGUAAACCUCUUUCAGCACAGACGAAGCUGUCGCUACGUGUGGGGGUGGUGACGGUAUGUGCAGAAGAAGCACCGGCCAACUACGUGCCAGCAGCCGCGGUAAUACGUAGGGUGCGAGCGUUGUCCGGAAUUAUUGGGCGUAAAGGGCUCGUAGGCGGUUUGUCGCGUCGGGAGUGAAAUCCACUGGCUUAACUGGUGGCUUGCUUUCGAUACGGGCAGACUGGAGGUAUGCAGGGGAGAACGGAAUUCCUGGUGUAGCGGUGAAAUGCGCAGAUAUCAGGAGGAACACCGGUGGCGAAGGCGGUUCUCUGGGCAUGUCCUGACGCUGAGGAGCGAAAGUGUGGGGAGCGAACAGGAUUAGAUACCCUGGUAGUCCACGCCGUAAACGUUGGGCGCUAGGU